AUUCAGGCCUCCGCCAGCUUCUAGGCCCUGGGGAUGGUCUUUCACCUCCCUCUUUCUGAUCUCUUUUUCAUGCUCCUCCUUGCUCCAAAGAAAAGCCGGAUGGCAAAAGAGCCCAGAACCUAUUGGAACUGACAAAAUCAAGUCACGGCGCCUACAAAGAUGAGGGGCAGAUUCUGGCUGCCUUUUAAUUUCGUCCUUCACCUGAUAUCUGUGCCAGAGAAUGUGGCAUGGUUCAGUCUUCCAGGAGUUCUGCUACAGAGAAGAGAGUAACCCCCAUCCAUCAUGGCCAAAGCACCCAGUCAGGCUCCGCUCUGGAUCCAGCCCGACAAAUGCAACCCUUGAAUAGGGUUUGUGCAAGCAAACUGGAUGACGACCGAAGAAACCCUGUCGCUUCUGAGAAGACACCCAAUCCAAGAAUGAAAGCAUCAGGUUCAAUACCUAGGAACUCCUGUAGAGGGUGUUGUGGAAUCUUCUUUAAAAGAACAAAACAAGGCAAAACAAAGUUUAAUAGGGUAGAGCAGCCAGGUGUGGUGGGUCAUGCCUGUAAUCUCAGCAAUUUGGGAGGCCAAGGCAGGAUCUCAGCAAUUUGGGAGGCGAAGGCAGGCAGAUCACUUGAGCCUAGGAGUUCAAGACCAGCUUGGGCAACAUAGCAAGACCCUGCCUAUACCAAAAAAAAAAAGUGAACCUAGGAGUAUGAGGCUGCAGUAAGCUGUGGUUGUACCAGUGCACUUUGGGAGGCCAAGGUAGGCGGGUCUUCUGAGAUCGAGAGUUUGAGACCAGCCUGACCAACAUGGAGAAACCCCGUCUCUACUAAAAGUACAAAAUUAGCCGGCAUGGUGGUGCAUGCCUGUAAUCCCAGCUACUCGGGAGGCUGAGGCGGGAGAAUUGCUUGAACUCAGGAGGCAGAGGUUGUGGUGAGCCAAGAUCGCGCCAUUGCACUCCAGCCUGGACAACAAGAGCGAAACUCCAUCACAAACAAACAAACAAUAAACAAAAACCAUAGAGUGAUUUCUGGCCAACAGAGCAAGAAAGAAGUGAACCAAUGAAAACCGGUCCAAGUCUGGGAGUCAAUAUGGAAAAGCUGCCUAAUUAAUGUGGAAGCCCCAGGGAAAUGAUAUACCAUGAAAACCUAACACUACAAAAACUAGUUGUCAGACACAUGUGAGCAGUGAACAGAAUCCUAAUAUGCUGGUUUAACAUUCAAAACUGGAGAGUGUUUGUGUAUCUUCUAAAGACUGUUUGGGGUUUAUUUGUGGAGUUCAGCUGAGUGUCAUCAGAACAAAGAUUAGUGCAAAAAAUCUUUCAGAAAUCAUGCCCAAACAUUUGCAUGCACCUUAAAUAAGAAAUGAAAUAGCAAGAAGAGUAUGUCACAAUAAAGUAUAAAUAGCAAGUGAUAUGUCUCAUCGUACUGAGACAGUUUUAUAAAUGAGGCAAAGGCCUUGUCAAAAAAUAAUGAUGAUUUUCAAAAUUCUGAAACGCAAAGGAGGAAAACUACUUCAUUCAGUUAACAGGAAGCACACAAGAAUCUCCCCAUCAACCAAGAUUUUUUUUUUCUAUAACCCACGCUUUGUAAGACAAUAAUAGCAAAAACUAUAAACUAGAAUUUGUUGAAAGAACAACUUCUAGAAUUUGCCCUUUAUGUGCUGUUUUACCAUUGUCAUGUCUGUCUCUGGUAUGACUUCCUCAUCUAUUAGUAGCCUCCUAAUAAAUUUGAACAAAUGAAUGAAUGAAUAAGAGACAACUAAGCAUGAGGUAUUGCAAGAUGGUAACUCAUCCAGGGAAAAUUAAAACCUGGAGUGGAUCAGAUGGAAAAACAAAAUAAGACACUAGAAAAAAAUCACCAGGAGGGUUUCAAACCAAAAGAUCCCCUGGUUAACCUUCAGCUAAUUAUAAGAUUUAAUUAACUAGAAAAACUCAAUCCUUGUUUAUUCUAUUUAAUUGAGAUUUUACCAUAUUUAAAAUGAUGUUACUCAAGUGUUCUCAUUAAUAUUUAAUGAAAGUGUGAGAGAAUUGGCUAACCAAAUUUACUGUGCUUAGGUAAACUGUAAUUAGGAAGGGUUAGCAGAGCAUCCCAAGGGACCUAUCAAUCACAAAAUGAAGCGAUACAAUUACAGAUGAAUUUCAACAAGGAAACACACAAAACAGUGAUCCUCAAAAAAGAUGGAAUAAAAUUACUUGAAUGUGGUAGUCGGUUCUGAGAAAUGCAAUCAAUCACAUGUCAUUUCAGACAACUCAGAAGGAAUAACCCUACCCAACAGACUUGAACUCUUUGUGUGUGUGUGUGUGUGUGUGUCUGUGUGUGUGAUAGAAUUUCACUCUUGUCGCCCAGGCUGGAGUGCAGUGCGAUCUCGGCUCAC
Molecule: long non-coding RNA, 2357 nt
Filed under: Homo sapiens (human)
Lineage: Eukaryota; Metazoa; Chordata; Mammalia; Primates; Hominidae
Description: HSALNT0356678
Source: RNAcentral